This 76-nucleotide transfer RNA is filed under the name Caudoviricetes sp. Its description in RNAcentral is "tRNA-Gln". It matches the Rfam family "tRNA". Rfam says of the family: Transfer RNA (tRNA) molecules are approximately 80 nucleotides in length. Their secondary structure includes four short double-helical elements and three loops (D, anti-codon, and T loops). Further hydrogen bonds mediate the characteristic L-shaped molecular structure. tRNAs have two regions of fundamental functional importance: the anti-codon, which is responsible for specific mRNA codon recognition, and the 3' end, to which the tRNAs corresponding amino acid is attached (by aminoacyl-tRNA synthetases). tRNAs cope with the degeneracy of the genetic code in two manners: having more than one tRNA (with a specific anti-codon) for a particular amino acid; and 'wobble' base-pairing, i.e. permitting non-standard base-pairing at the 3rd anti-codon position. Lineage: Duplodnaviria; Heunggongvirae; Uroviricota; Caudoviricetes. The record is from RNAcentral.
AGCCCUGUCGCCAAACGGUUGAAGGCAUAAGACUUUGACUCUUACAUCGUUGGUUCGACUCCAACCAGGGCUGCCA